Molecule: non-coding RNA, 73 nt
Organism: Phrynosoma platyrhinos (Desert horned lizard)
Lineage: Eukaryota; Metazoa; Chordata; Lepidosauria; Squamata; Phrynosomatidae
Source: the annotation of a GenBank genome assembly
GGCAGCAUGGUGUAGUGGUUUCAGUGCUGGCCUAGGACUCCAGAAGGCCAGGGUUCAAAUCCCUGGUCAGCUA